GAAGCAGCCCCGCGAGGGUGAGCAAACCACAGAAACGGCGUCCCAGUUCGGAUUGCAGCCUGCAACUCGGCUGCAUGAAGCUGGAAUCGCUAGUAAUCGCGGAUCAGAAUGCCGCGGUGAAUACGUUCCCGGGCCUUGUACACACCGCCCGUCAAGCCAUGGGAGCUGGGGGUGCCUGAAGUUCGUGACCGCAAGGAUCGACCUAGGGCAAAACCGGUGACUGGGGCUAAGUCGUAACAAGGUAUC
Molecule: ribosomal RNA, 246 nt
Filed under: uncultured bacterium
Lineage: Bacteria
Description: partial 16S ribosomal RNA
Rfam family: Bacterial small subunit ribosomal RNA
Source: RNAcentral